This is a long non-coding RNA of Triticum dicoccoides, 1321 nucleotides long. RefSeq lists it as uncharacterized. The record is from RefSeq and is a predicted model, not a curated record. NCBI's taxonomy places the organism in Eukaryota, Viridiplantae, Streptophyta, Magnoliopsida, Poales, Poaceae. The transcript has 5 exons.
AGAGACACUAAUCACUUUGCUUUCUCCGUCGCACGCCGCCGGCCGCCUUCUCUGGAGCAGGGCGCACGCUGCCGGCUGCCUUCUUUCGAGCAGGGCGCAUCCUCUCCCGCCACGACAUCUUCUGGCGCCCCCCUCCCCGCACCACCACCACCACCACGGCCUCGCCCUGUCUCCUAUCCAUGCGAGGGCCUUGCCUCGCCGGCUCUUAUCCCCACCACGGCCUCGCCCCGCCGCCUCUUCUCACCACCGCGGACUUGCCUCGCAGCCAACCCUGCGGAUCUUCCCUAGAUCGACUCUGCCGCCGCCAUCAUACUGCCACAGAGCAGAUCAAGAUGCAAGCUGCUGGACAUGAUGCAGGAGCAGGCAUCUUGAAUUGGACCGAGAUCCAGUGCGUCGACCUCACACAGUCGCUCCGGGAAGGAGCUCGCAGCUCGGUUGCUGAAGGCACCUUCACCACAUUGUCAUUCAUUUGUGAGAUGUUUCCGUUUCUCUAUGUUGGCAUGGAUGCACUGGAUAUAGAGUAGUGGAAGAUUGUUAGUGGAACACAUGUACAGGCAACUGCGAGGACUACCAACAGGCAUACCUGCUACGUGUUGGUGAUGAGCAAGCUAGCCAAGGGGUAGCACAGUGAAUCGAUGAAGAAGCUGGAAUCCGAAUAGGAGGCAUAUUUUCAACUGGUUUGACGCAUGUUGGAGGAGGUCGUCACAAAUUAGAAUGUUGUGACCAGCUUUUACUUACAUGAGAAUCUCGAUCAUCUCCAAACUUCGCAGAAGUGGAACGAUUCAUGGUUGUACGUUUCCAUAUGGAGAGCAACACCAAUUCUCCUAUUUGUUUUACCUGGAUGGUUGUAUUAAUGUACUAUCAAACCAUGGAAUAGUAUCAAGGAUGCAGAGGCAUGGUGAGUAGAAGCGGAUUGUCGAUGUACCAUUCUGGUCGUCGUUGUUGCCCGAUCAUGGAGGUCGCACCCGCCGGAUGUGCUUGCAACUGCUGAAUAGAACCGUUCUCGUGGGUGUGGCUGGUGUCCAUGCCUAUUCAACACACACCAACACUCGCCACGGUAUUGCCCGUGUCCUGCAGGCUAAGCAGGUCCAUGAGCGCCUGCACCCACCUCUUCUUCUUCAAGUGGUGAUUUGACUGUAGACCAUGCAACAUCAAGUAGUAUGUGAGUUAUCGAAUACAAAAAGGAUGCCUGAACUACAAAUCAUCAAAAAUCAAAAUCUAAGGACCAACAUGUUCAGAAGCUAUGGAAAAAUGUUCUUCACCAAAAUUUUACUGCAGCUUAUUCCUUUUCUUUUCUUUUCCUUCACAAACCUGCACAAUU